UAAAAUGGGGAAAAUGAUAUUUUUCGAUUAUUACAAAUAUGACACUAAAACCAGAGAGCACUGUCAAUAACAUCCUUAGGAACAAGACACUUUAGUAGGCACACGAACCCUAUCGUCAAUUUCCUUUAAGUUUUGCUUAAUCAACAAACCCAGCUCUUUCAAAUCCAUCGAAUUCAAACUCUGCAAUAUCUCUUUUCCAUUCAGGCUUUGGAACAUGGCAGUUUUCAACUCCUUCUGUCAAUUUUCCUUACGCAGUUUCCUAAGAUGUUGAGUAGCUUUGGCUAAAGCUUUGCUCAAAGAAACUCUCUUGGUUAACCAUCAAUUGUUUUGUUUCGACAGGGGCAGCUUCUUGGACUUGGACAGCAAGCGUCGGGCACUCACGUGGGACGACCAUACCUCAGGUUGGGAGUUGAAAUCAGGAGAGUACAUAAUAGUACAAGCUUCAAUCCCAUAAAGGGUAGUGAGUUCAUGCACCUUCUUCACUAGACCCUUGGUUCUUUUCUUGUAAGUAGUUUUCCUUACUAAAUCAUUGGUAAUGUAGGCAAGCUUUAUUUUCUUUCUAGACAUGGAUAAUUGAAGAUUUAUUUUCUAUGCAUUUGAUUACAUGUUACCCUCACAGUGUGUGUGCUUAUGUAUGGAUAUUAGAGGCUUGUAGAGAAGAAGGGAUGCCCCACUUAUCCUUACUGGACACAUAUUAAUGUUGGCCUAAAAAGGAAAUGAGAAGAUAGGUGUUCAAAUUCCAGUUAUGAUACCAAAUUCAUUACCAUAAUAGCUGCAAUUUUAAUGUCGACAUUAAAUGCAUAAGUAUGUUUAAAGUUCAUAUAUCUGGCUUUCAGUUAUAUAUUUCAUAUUUCAGUGAUAUAUACCAUUUGUGUCACAAAGGUCGAAAUAAACUUCUCGUAGGCAUUUUACCGGGUUUUUGGGGCUCCAGAGGUUAGGAAUAAAUUGGAGACUUGGGAGUUAAUAGUUUAGGGAGAAAUAAUUCACUUCCAUGGUUGGUGGGUGGGGACUUCAACGAUAUUCUUUAUGCUCAUGAAAAAUAGGGCGGCUUGCUAAGGGAAGAGGCUCGGAUGAAGGCUUUUCGUAAAACUUUGGAAGAUUGUCAAUUGGAGAAUAUUGGUUUUUUAGGUGCUUGGUUCACGUGGGAAAGAGGCAAAACUAUGGACUAGAAUAUUAGGGAAAGAAUUGAUAGAGGGGUGGCCACUGAUUCUUGGUUUCAACUUUUUCAAAAGUAUUCUUUAACGCAUCUUCCACAUUCUUUCUUGGACCAUUGUCCAUUACUUAUGGAAACGGAAGAUGAAAAGAGGGGUAAAAAAUCUGUUAAGUUUCGAUUGAAGUUGAUAAUCUUAUAUAUCCCAAGACAAAGAUAGCAUUAAAACCAGAUAGCGCUGUCAAUAACAUCCUGAGGAACAACGCGCUUUAGUAAGCACACGAACCCUAUUGUCAAUUUCCUUCAAGUUUUGCUUAACCAACAGACCCAACUCUUUCAAAUCUAUCAAAUUCAAACUAUGUAAUAUCCAUUUUCCUUUCAGGCUUUGGAACAUGGUUUUCAACUCCUGUCGAUUUUCCUUACACAAUUUCCUAAGAUGUUGAGUAGCUUUGGCUAAGCUUUGCUCAAGGAAACUCUCUUGGUUAAACCAUCAAUUGUUUUGUUUCAACAAGGCAGCUUCUUGAACUUGGC
This 1681-nucleotide long non-coding RNA is filed under the name Gossypium barbadense (sea-island cotton). RNAcentral's name for it is "long non-coding RNA (GBAR_LNC012853)". Lineage: Eukaryota; Viridiplantae; Streptophyta; Magnoliopsida; Malvales; Malvaceae. The record is from RNAcentral.